UACGUAGGUUGCGAGCGUUGUCCGGAUUUACUGGGUGUAAAGCGCGCGCAGGCGGUCUCGAAAGUCCACGGUGAAAGCUCCCGGCCCAACUGGGAGAGGCCCGUGGAAACUUCGAGACUUGAAGGCGGGAGAGGCAAAUGGAAUUUCCGGUGUAGCGGUAAAAUGCGUAGAUACCGGAAGGAACACCAGUGGCGAAGGCGAUUUGCUGGCCCGCACUUGACGCUCAGGCGCGAAAGCUAGGGUAGCGACCGGG
RNAcentral lists this ribosomal RNA (253 nucleotides) under uncultured bacterium. RNAcentral's name for it is "partial 16S ribosomal RNA". It matches the Rfam family "Bacterial small subunit ribosomal RNA", at positions 524 to 776 of the family's 1533-position model. The record is from RNAcentral.